RNAcentral lists this microRNA precursor (91 nucleotides) under Harpegnathos saltator (Jerdon's jumping ant). RNAcentral's name for it is "mir-317 microRNA precursor family". It matches the Rfam family "mir-317 microRNA precursor family". Lineage: Eukaryota; Metazoa; Arthropoda; Insecta; Hymenoptera; Formicidae. The record is from Rfam by way of RNAcentral.
GCUUUCAGAGAACAGGGAGCCACUCUGCGUUCUCUCGGUAGGUAAUGAAGCGAGUGAACACAGCUGGUGGUAUCUCAGUUUUCUGGGGGCG